RNAcentral lists this transfer RNA (21 nucleotides) under Jenynsia lineata (onesided livebearer). Its description in RNAcentral is "partial tRNA-Glu". The record is from RNAcentral. Lineage: Eukaryota; Metazoa; Chordata; Actinopteri; Cyprinodontiformes; Anablepidae. RNAcentral also lists the same sequence under 1 other name.
UAGGUUCUUGUAGUUGAAUUA